Molecule: long non-coding RNA, 2006 nt
Organism: Capsicum annuum
Lineage: Eukaryota; Viridiplantae; Streptophyta; Magnoliopsida; Solanales; Solanaceae
Exons: 6
Source: RefSeq, a predicted model, not a curated record
GUAAAUCUUCUUAGGUUUUGGGGAGGGCGGGGGGUCUUCUUAGUUUCCCCCAGAUAAUUAUUUUUUUUAUGUGUUCUUCAUACCAUCUCUGCUUUUCGCUGAACUAUUUUUCGCGUUUUUGUAUUUUUUGUUAUAGCAAAGUAGAGGGUUGUGUGGUGAAGGAUCAACUAUUCAUCUAGUUCAUUGAAGUGGAAAUUGUGAAGUUCAUUCUCAAAAUUGAUUCGAGUUUACAAGGAUCCAAGUAGUGGAAAGGUAAAUCUUGCAACCACCGGUACAACUACUGAGUUCUUGGGUACUUUCGGUGGUCUUGGAGCAAUUGGUUUAUCAGCGUCACUUUUGACAUCUGUUCUUCUAACCACAUUAGAGGUUCUCCUUGUGGUUGGCCUUUGUUCUGCUGGCGGGUGGUUAAUAAAGAAAAUCAAUGGCAUCAAAUGGUCAGGAUAAUGGACAGCAUAAGAAAGGUAAGAAAGGGCCUGAUAAUCUUCCUGCAGGUCAAUAAACACCACCACCACCACCACCAACACCUGUUACCACAACUUUUCAACCAACUGCUACAAAUGUUCUUCCUCCUCCAAGGUCAACUAUUUCACUAUCAAAUGCAUUUUUCAUGCCCCCACUAUCUGAUCAGUUCCACACCUCUUCUUCUCAUAAUAAUCUGUAUAGUAGCUUUUCAUUUGUACUUUCGACAUCAUCCACACCUACCUUUUAUGGAUUGAGAAUUGGAGGUCCUAGCACAUCAACAUCGUCAUCCAUUGAUAGUGCUACAGUGUCUAAUGCUACAGCAGCUACUUCUCGAAAUCUAAAAUUUAAAGAGGUAGUAGAAUAUGACAGCAAUAGGAGGCUACUUAUCAUCCCUGAUGGUAAUGGGUAAGUAACCCUUGUGUUUUUUCUUAAUAUUUAAAAUUCUCGAAAGCUAAGAUAAUUUAAUAUAAUUUUAUUGCAGGUUUAUUCUCGCAUAUGCCUCCGGGCAUAUGGUUAUAGAAGUAAUUAAACUAUUUUACAUGGAGUCAUGGGGUAGUUGGAACGAGAUUCGAAUCGACAUCAGAAUUCUUAUGUGGAAACAGUUUAUAGUAUAAUUAAAUUCAAAGAAUUUACCAUUUCAGUAUGCUAUCAAUAGUGAAUUUACCUUUGUAUCCAUUAACUCAUUUCAUGAAUUUAUGUUAAAAUAUUUUGCAGUGUGCAUGGAACUCUUUGUCAUGAAAAUGAAAUACAAGCCAUUUUCAAGUUGAAAGCAGCUCUACGGAUCAAAGAACACUUGUAUGAGGCCCGAAAGAACUUGAAAAAUCCUGGUUGGCUGACAGAUAAUGUGUGGGGCAAGUUCUUGGAAAAAUGGGAUACUCCUGAAUACAAGGUAAGGAGGAAACGAGCAAAUACAAAUAGAGCCUUUGAAAUGGGUGGCUCGUUGUACACUAGAGGUUCGAUGAGUUUCGCUACCCACCGACGAAGACUGGAAUAUUUAAAUGAGGGAAAAGAACCAACUUUUCUUGAGGUCAUCGAAGAGACGCAUAGGAAAAAAAGGACGGUAAAAGAGAAGAUUGGGUCAAAACGCAUGCUAAGGAUGCAUAUGAUUUCAAAAAAGCAUAUAAGAUUGGCGUCAAACCCAACCUAUUUUAGAGGAUGAUACCGUGGUCCAACUAUCACCUGCUAAUAUGAUUAACAUGUGGUCGGCCAACUGUGAUGGGUGGUCCAAAGAAAGAUAGAACCUACGGGUGUGGGGUUCUCCAAUCUUUGAAUACUCCUUCGUUGUUUCCCAGUUCCUUUUCUACUUUGCAAACUAUGAAAGAAAUGGAAGCGUGAGAAAGCAAAUUAUAGAGUUGACACAACAAUGUUGGCUAACGAUGCUAAGUUUGCUAAAUUUGCUAAAUUUGAGGAGAUGGUCAAGAAGCACAUGCCUCAAGUAUUUCAUGAUGAGGAAAAGAGCGAACCUGAUGAUAAUUAGAUUGUAGUUGUUGUUCUUGUUUUUUAUUGUGACAUUUAGAUGUUUAAACUAUUUGACUCGAUGUUUG